This 154-nucleotide unclassified non-coding RNA is filed under the name uncultured Phaeomoniellales. RNAcentral's name for it is "sequence contains ITS2". Lineage: Eukaryota; Fungi; Ascomycota; Eurotiomycetes; Phaeomoniellales. The record is from RNAcentral.
UCAACCCUCAAACUUGGUUUGUUAUUGGGUCUUUUAUCGUUAAGAUAGACCUGAAAGAUAAUGGCGGCGUCAUGAUUGACCCCAGGUGCAGCGAGCUUUAAGCAUACACUGAGGUGGUUGUCAUGGCCUGGCCUUCUUAAAAUUUUAAUUCUAA